Long non-coding RNA from Sander lucioperca (pikeperch), 624 nucleotides. RefSeq lists it as uncharacterized. NCBI's taxonomy places the organism in Eukaryota, Metazoa, Chordata, Actinopteri, Perciformes, Percidae. The transcript has 3 exons. The record is from RefSeq and is a predicted model, not a curated record.
CAGCUAGCAGGCUGAGCUAGCUACCGGCAGGAUCGAGACAAGAACUCCGGCAAGACCAGAGGAGGAGGACUGGUCAUUUUUGUGCAUAAUGAAUGGAGUACCAACAGCAGGAUCGUUGCCCUGCACUGCUCACCUGACCUGGCGGUAAUAUGCAGACCAUUUUAUUUGCCAAGAGAGUACACUGUAGUGACUGUUACUGCUGUCUACAAACGGUCAACAAACUGCAGCGCGAUCACCCGGAGGGGAUACAUAUUGUAGCAGGGGACUUUAACAAGGUGUCCUUAAAGUCUGUACUCCCCAGCUUUUUCCAGCAUGUCGAUUGUGCUACUAGAGGGAAGAACACACUAGACCAUGUAUACUCUAACAUCAAGAAAGCAUACAGAACAGCGCCUCUCCCUCACCUGGGCCAGUCAGAUCACAUCCAACUACUCCUGAUCCCAGCGUACAGCCCGGUCAGAAGGACUAUACAGCCAAGUAGGAGGACUAUCAAAACCUGGCCUGACACUGCCCUAUCCCAGCUCCAGGACUGCUUCCAAUAAGGACAUGGUUGUGUGCAAUAUGUUACAGAACAGAGCCCUUUGUUUAUUAAUAUGAUUUCAUCUUGCUUGUACUUUUUCCCAAAAG